UACAGAGGGCCCAAGCGUUGUUCGGAUUCACUGGGCGUAAAGGGUGCGUAGGCGGUCAGGUAAGUCUGAUGUGAAAUCUCUGGGCUUAACCCAGAAAUGGCAUUGGAUACUAUUUGGCUUGAGAGUUGGAGGGGGGACUGGAAUUCUUGGUGUAGCAGUGAAAUGCGUAGAUAUCAAGAGGAACACCAGUGGCGAAGGCGAGUCCCUGGACAACUUCUGACGCUGAGGCACGAAAGCUAGGGGAGCAAACAGG
Molecule: ribosomal RNA, 253 nt
Filed under: uncultured bacterium
Lineage: Bacteria
Description: partial 16S ribosomal RNA
Rfam family: Bacterial small subunit ribosomal RNA
Source: RNAcentral